This is a small nuclear RNA of Nycticebus coucang (slow loris), 106 nucleotides long. NCBI's taxonomy places the organism in Eukaryota, Metazoa, Chordata, Mammalia, Primates, Lorisidae. The record is from RefSeq and is a predicted model, not a curated record.
ACUCAUUUCAGCAGAACAUAUACUAAAAAUUGAAACAGUUUAGAGAUGAUUAGCAUGACCUCUGUGCAAAGAUGACACACGAACUCAUGGAACAUUCCAUAUUUUU